AUAACAUUAUUUAUUUAAGUGCUC
RNAcentral lists this non-coding RNA (24 nucleotides) under Arabidopsis thaliana (thale cress). Lineage: Eukaryota; Viridiplantae; Streptophyta; Magnoliopsida; Brassicales; Brassicaceae. The record is from RNAcentral.